CAGAGAGAGGAGCCAAGAGCACACAUAGAAAAACAUGAGGGACUGACACAGCCAGGACGCGUCCCCCAUUUACCAUGGAGAUGGGGGAGGAGCUUAGCGGGCAGUCACCUGACCUGUGGUCUGAUUGGUCAAUGACAUUCUCAGCAUGGUGGAGCAUUGGAGAAGAGAGACAACCAUGCAGGGAGCCAUACCACCGGCGAUAGCGAAUGAAGGAGCAGCACUCGCUCUCCCUGGUCCUCCCCUGAGUCCAUCGCACACUGUGUAUCCAGCUCCCCCCAGUCUGCAGCCGGACCCGGAACCACACACAGAAGGGGACGGGUGGGAGCCGAUGCCACACACUGAAGGGGACCUAUGAGAGCCGGAGCCUCGCGCUGAAGGGGACGUAUGGGAGCCAGAGCCGCAUGCUGAAGGGGACGUAUGGGAGCCAGAGCCGCUGCUGAAGGGGACGUAUGGGAGCCAGAGCUGCACGAUGAAUAUGAAAGCAGCACGGAAGGAGUGCAGGCCAGGCAGUUGAAGCUAUGGGACUUUGGAGCAGCGGGGAAUCCAAGGACAGGUGGAGCCCAAGCUGCAACAAGUGAUGAUUCUAUAUUCAACAUGAAUACCUGCAUUGUGCAUAGAGAAGACACACCAAAAACACCCAGCAGGUCAGCCUAGUUCCAGACAGUUGUCACGUUGCAUCAAGUUUGGUUACCACACAUGACUGAAAGCGACCUGCUGUAACACGAGCUUGUCUGAGACGGUGGAUGGAAAACGUGAGCACUCCUUACAUCCUGAAACUGAUAAUUACCUCUGUUCUCUACAUGCGUUUGUAGGUCAGCGUGCCCGGUGUUAUUGUAGUCUGCCAGCAGGCUAUCUGUUUCUCCAAUAAAAAGAUGAUUUAG
Molecule: long non-coding RNA, 881 nt
Organism: Pseudophryne corroboree (corroboree frog)
Lineage: Eukaryota; Metazoa; Chordata; Amphibia; Anura; Myobatrachidae
Exons: 4
Source: RefSeq, a predicted model, not a curated record